ACCGGAGCUAAUACCAGAUAACAUGUUGAACCGCAUGGUUCAACAGUGAAAGACGGUCUUGCUGUCACUUAUAGAUGGAUCCGCGCCGCAUUAGCUAGUUGGUAAGGUAACGGCUUACCAAGGCAACGAUGCGUAGCCGACCUGAGAGGGUGAUCGGCCACACUGGAACUGAGACACGGUCCAG
RNAcentral lists this ribosomal RNA (184 nucleotides) under uncultured Staphylococcus sp. Its description in RNAcentral is "partial 16S ribosomal RNA". It matches the Rfam family "Bacterial small subunit ribosomal RNA", at positions 156 to 334 of the family's 1533-position model. The record is from RNAcentral. Lineage: Bacteria; Bacillati; Bacillota; Bacilli; Caryophanales; Staphylococcaceae.